ACCGGCUCAGUAACACGUGGAUAACCUGCCCUAAGGAAGGGGAUAACCCCGGGAAACUGGGGAUAAUACCCUAUAGACUACAGAUGCUGGAAUGCUCUGUAAUCGAAAGUUCCGACGCCUUAGGAUGGAUCUGCGGCCGAUUAGGUUGUUGUCGGGGUAAUGGCCCAACAAGCCAGUGAUCGGUACGGGUUGUGGGAGCAAGGGCCCGGAGUUGGAUUCUGAGACACGAAUCCAGGCCCUACGGGGCGCAGCAGGCGCGAAAACUUACAAUGCGGGCAACCGUGAUAAGGGAACCUCGAGUGCCUGUAUAUGCAGGCUGUCCAGGUGUCUAAAACACACCUGAAGAAAGGGCCGGGCAAGACCGGUGCCAGCCGCCGCGGUAAUAACGGCGGCUCGAGUGGUGGCCACUUUUAUUGGGCUUAAAGCGUUCGUAGCUGGGUUGUUAAGUCUCUUGGGAAAUCUGGCGGCUUAACCGUCAGGCGUCUAAGGGAUACUGGCAAUCUUGGAACCGGGAGAGGUGAGGGGUACUUCGGGGGUAGGAGUGAAAUCCCUGUAAUCCCUCGAGGGACCACCUGUGGGCGAAAGGCGCCUCACCAGAACGGCUUCGACAGUGAGGGACGAAAGCUGGGGGAGCAAACCGGAUUAGAUACCCGGGUAGUCCCAGCCGUAAACGAUGCGCGUUAGGUGUAUCGGUGACCACGAGUCACCGAGGUGCCGAAGGAAACCGUGAAACGUGCCGCCUGGGAAGUACGGUCGCAGGCUGAACU
This 767-nucleotide ribosomal RNA is filed under the name uncultured methanogenic archaeon. RNAcentral's name for it is "bacterial SSU rRNA". It matches the Rfam family "Archaeal small subunit ribosomal RNA", at positions 83 to 856 of the family's 1478-position model. The record is from RNAcentral. Lineage: Archaea; Methanobacteriati; Methanobacteriota.